GAAAGAGAACUGCCAGACUGCUAAUCUGAACCACCAAAACUAACCCUUUGGCUCAUUCA
This 59-nucleotide transfer RNA is filed under the name Hemidactylus citernii. Its description in RNAcentral is "tRNA-Ser". Lineage: Eukaryota; Metazoa; Chordata; Lepidosauria; Squamata; Gekkonidae. The record is from RNAcentral.